GGACUACACGGGUAUCUAAUCCUGUUUGAUCCCCACGCUGUCGCGCCUGAGCGUCAGUAACGGGCCAGUGAGCCGCCUUCGCCACCGGUGUUCUUCCGAAUAUCUACGAAUUUCACCUCUACACUCGGAAUUCCACUCACCUCUCCCGUACUCGAAGUCCAACAGUCUCAGGGGCAGUUCCGGAGUUAAGCUCCGGGCUUUCACCUCUGACUUGUAGGACCGCCUGCGCGCGCUUUACGCCCAGUAAUUCCGAACAACGCUAGCCCCCUUCGUAUUACCGCGGCUGCUGGCAC
This 293-nucleotide ribosomal RNA is filed under the name uncultured bacterium. RNAcentral's name for it is "partial 16S ribosomal RNA". The record is from RNAcentral.